RNAcentral lists this ribosomal RNA (466 nucleotides) under uncultured bacterium. RNAcentral describes it as "bacterial SSU rRNA". It matches the Rfam family "Bacterial small subunit ribosomal RNA", at positions 28 to 524 of the family's 1533-position model. The record is from RNAcentral.
GAUGAAUGCUGGCGGCGUGCCUAAUACAUGCAAGUCGAGCGGCAGCGCGUCUAGUUUACUAGAUGGCGGCGAGCGGCGGACGGCUGAGUAACGCGUAGGAAUGUGCCCCAAAGUGAGGAAUAACUGCCCGAAAGGGUAGCUAAUGCCGCAUAUGGUCUUCGGAUUAAAGGAUUUAUCCGCUUUGGGAGCAGCCUGCGUACGAUUAGAUAGUUGGUGAGGUAAUGGCUCACCAAGUCGACGAUCGUUAGCUGGUCUGAGAGGAUGAUCAGCCAGACUGGAACUGAGACACGGUCCAGACUCCUACGGGAGGCAGCAGUAAGGAAUCUUCCACAAUGGGCGAAAGCCUGAUGGAGCAACGCCGCGUGCAGGAUGAAGGCCUCGGGUUGUAAACUGCUUUAUGAGUGAAGAAUAUGACGGUAACUCAUGAAUAAGCACCGGCUAACUACGUGCCAGCAGCCGCGGUAAU